AUAAGAUUUUAAUUGAAUGCUAAAAGAAUGGAAAUUUAAAAAAAAACUUUUUUAAAAAUAAAAAUUGAAUUUUUUUUAAUUUGUGCAAAAACAAUUAUAUUUAUUAAAGACAAGAAGACCCUAAGAAUUUAAGAUUUUACAAUUAAAAAGUUUUUUUUUAAAAUCUUGAUUGGGGCGAUCAAAAAAUAUUAAUAACUUUUUAAAAUUUAAAUUGAUCUAUUAUUAAUAAACUAAUGAAUUAAAUACUCUAGGGAUAACAGCGUAAUAAUUUUUGAUAGAUCUUAUUGACAAAAUAGUUUGCGACCUCGAUGUUGGAUUAGGAUUCUUUUUUAAUGAAGAAGUUAAAAAAAGAAGUUUGUUCAACUUUUAAAUUC
This 374-nucleotide ribosomal RNA is filed under the name Hyalomma rufipes. Its description in RNAcentral is "partial large subunit ribosomal RNA". The record is from RNAcentral. Lineage: Eukaryota; Metazoa; Arthropoda; Arachnida; Ixodida; Ixodidae.